UAGGGAAUCUUCCGCAAUGGACGCAAGUCUGACGGAGCAACGCCGCGUGAGUGAAGAAGGUUUUCGGAUCGUAAAACUCUGUUGUUAGAGAAGAACAAGUGCUAGAGUAACUGUUAGCGCCUUGACGGUAUCUAACCAGAAAGCCACGGCUAACUACGUGCCAGCAGCCGCGGUAAUACGUAGGUGGCAAGCGUUGUCCGGAUUUAUUGGGCGUAAAGCGAGCGCAGGCGGUUCCUUAAGUCUGAUGUGAAAGCCCCCGGCUCAACCGGGGAGGGUCAUUGGAAACUGGGGAACUUGAGUGCAGAAGAGGAGAGUGGAAUUCCAUGUGUAGCGGUGAAAUGCGUAGAUAUAUGGAGGAACACCAGUGGCGAAGGCGACUCUCUGGUCUGUAACUGACGCUGAGGCUCGAAAGCGUGGGUAGCAAACAGGAUUAGAUACCCUGGUAGUCCACGCCGUAAACGAUGAGUGCUAAGUGUUGGAGGGUUUCCGCCCUUCAGUGCUGCAGUUAACGCAUUAAGCACUUCGCCUGGGGAGUACGACCGCAAGGUUG
RNAcentral lists this ribosomal RNA (550 nucleotides) under uncultured bacterium. Its description in RNAcentral is "bacterial SSU rRNA". It matches the Rfam family "Bacterial small subunit ribosomal RNA", at positions 355 to 896 of the family's 1533-position model. The record is from RNAcentral.